AUGGUCAACACCCCAGUUCUCGCAUUGCCGGAUUUCACACGCCCCUUCUCCAUCGAGACAGAUGCGUGCGAUACCGGUGUCGGAGCAGUGCUGGUACAGGAUGGCCACCCCGUGGUGUAUCUUAGCAAGGCCUUGGGGAUACGGAACCAGCGUCUCUCCAUCUACGAGAAGGAGUUCCUCACCAUGAUCAUGGCCGUCGACAAGUGGCACUCCUACCUCCAGCGUGCUCCGUUUGUCAUCGUCACCGACCACAAGAGCUUGUGUACUCUAGGCGAGCAGCAGCUGGAUACGGAGCUCCAGCGCAAGGCUAUGUCCAAGCUAGUUGGCCUCCAGUUCUCCUUCAAGUACAGGCGCGGCGUCGAGAACGGCGCUGCCGAUGCCCUCUCGCGUGUCGGCCACCACUUCGCCAUCAAUGCCCUGCCCACAUGCCAACUGCAGUGGCUACAAGAGGUGGCCAACUCUUACGAGAUGGAUAGCGAUGCCCAAGAUCUUCCCCAACGCCUGGCCAUCUCCAGCCCCGACGACCAAGGCUAUGAGCUCCGGCAAGGCGUCAUCCGCCUCCAUGACAGGAUUUGGAUUGGGGCCAACUCCGCCCUCCAAACCAAGCUGAUCCACGCCUUCCACGCAAGCGCAGUGGGGGGGGCACUCCGGCGUGACCGCCACUUACCAGCGCCUCAAAAAACAUUUUGCCUGGUGUGGCCUUAA
This 705-nucleotide ribosomal RNA is filed under the name Triticum aestivum (bread wheat). Its description in RNAcentral is "partial small subunit ribosomal RNA". The record is from RNAcentral. Lineage: Eukaryota; Viridiplantae; Streptophyta; Magnoliopsida; Poales; Poaceae.